CCAACAGUGCAGCCCUGCUGGGUCCAAAUCAGCUUCUUAAUUUCUCUUUAUUUCUUUUUCAUUCAGCAAUUAAUGAGUUGUCCUGCACUGAUGUUGUGUAAUUUCCUUUGUCAGCAGUUCAGGGAGAGCACUGGCAGGUUGGACAGGGAUUAGAGAUGGACAGCAAGAGCUGGGAAGUGUGAAGAAGGUUCUGCUAAAUUUCAAGGAAUUUGGACUGCUGAGAGCAGCUUCCCAGGGGAGCCCUGCAAGGCUCUGAGAGUGCUCCCAGGAGAGUUUGGCAUGGCAGAAGAUGCAUUUCCAUGCUGCCUCUUCCUCUGCUUUGAGCAGGCCAACGCUGCCAGAUGGAAAUUGCCAAGGGCACGAGGCUGGGAAGUGAAGAGCAGAGCUGCUGUGAAGGGAAAGCUCAGUUCAUUCAGAGAGAUCACACAGGUCACUUGAGCACUGUUACAGGUAGGAAGCAGAAAAUGAGAGAUUUCCAGGAAAGCCUUUGUAGUUUGGUGGGGAAAAGGAGUCGUGAUACCCAGUGGCUGCAGGGAUGGUGAUCCAAAUUAGUUCUGAGCAGAUUUCCUUUUUUUUUUUUUAAUUGGUGAGGGUUAUUAACCUUACCUGCAGUUAUAAGGCCAAA
Long non-coding RNA from Zonotrichia leucophrys gambelii, 625 nucleotides. RefSeq lists it as uncharacterized. NCBI's taxonomy places the organism in Eukaryota, Metazoa, Chordata, Aves, Passeriformes, Passerellidae. The record is from RefSeq and is a predicted model, not a curated record. The transcript has 3 exons.